This is a long non-coding RNA of Pollicipes pollicipes, 295 nucleotides long. RefSeq lists it as uncharacterized. NCBI's taxonomy places the organism in Eukaryota, Metazoa, Arthropoda, Thecostraca, Pollicipedomorpha, Pollicipedidae. The record is from RefSeq and is a predicted model, not a curated record. The transcript is spliced from 3 exons.
CCUGCUGCCCAUCGUUUGCCUGGCCUCGCUCGGCGUCCUGCUCUCCGGCGUCUUCUUCGCCUUCAACGUCUACUACAAGCACAUGAAGCAGGUGAAGCUGUCCAGCCCGAAGCUGAACAGCAUCACCGUGGUGGGCUGUAUGCUGGUGUACGUGGCCGUGGUGCUGCUGGGCCUGGACUACGCCACCCUGUCCAGCACCGGACACUUCUCUAUCGUCUGCACGGCCCGGGUGUACCUUCUUAGCAUCGGCUUUUCCCUGGCGUUCGGCGCCAUGUUCGCCAAGACGUUCCGCGUG